Molecule: transfer RNA, 73 nt
Filed under: Marmota monax (woodchuck)
Lineage: Eukaryota; Metazoa; Chordata; Mammalia; Rodentia; Sciuridae
Description: tRNA.Ala
Source: RNAcentral
UUGAUGCAGUUCAGUGGUAGAACGUGUGCCUUGCAUUCAUGAGGUCCUGGGUUCAGUCCUCAGAAGUAUAAAA